RNAcentral lists this ribosomal RNA (691 nucleotides) under uncultured bacterium. RNAcentral describes it as "bacterial SSU rRNA". It matches the Rfam family "Bacterial small subunit ribosomal RNA", at positions 790 to 1482 of the family's 1533-position model. The record is from RNAcentral.
GUAGUCCACGCCCUAAACUAUGUCAACUGGUUGUCGGGGAAGCAAUUCCUUGGUAACGAAGCUAACGCGUGAAGUUGACCGCCUGGGGAGUACGGCCGCAAGGUUAAAACUCAAAGGAAUUGACGGGGACCCGCACAAGCGGUGGAUUAUGUGGAUUAAUUCGAUGCAACGCGAAAAACCUUACCUACCCUUGACAUGUACGGAACCUCGCAGAGAUGUGAGAGUGCCCGAAAGGGAACCGUAACACAGGUGCUGCAUGGCUGUCGUCAGCUCGUGUCGUGAGAUGUUGGGUUAAGUCCCGCAACGAGCGCAACCCUUGCCAUUAGUUGCUACAUUCAGUUGGGCACUCUAAUGGAACUGCCGGUGACAAACCGGAGGAAGGUGGGGAUGACGUCAAGUCCUCAUGGCCCUUAUGGGUAGGGCUUCACACGUAAUACAAUGGCAGGUACAGAGGGCAGCCAACCCGCGAGGGGGAGCUAAUCCCAGAAAGCCUGUCGUAGUCCGGAUUGUAGUCUGCAACUCGACUACAUGAAGCCGGAAUCGCUAGUAAUCGCGGAUCAGCAUGUCGCGGUGAAUACGUUCCCGGGUCUUGUACACACCGCCCGUCACACCAUGGGAGUGGGUUCCACCAGAAGUAGUUAGCCUAACCGCAAGGAGGGCGACUACCACGGUGAGAUUCAUGACUGGGGUG